Molecule: non-coding RNA, 939 nt
Organism: Bactrocera oleae (olive fruit fly)
Lineage: Eukaryota; Metazoa; Arthropoda; Insecta; Diptera; Tephritidae
Source: RefSeq, a predicted model, not a curated record
AGUCAGUGACUUUGUCAUGCCGUCAGCGCCUCAGUCGACGCGUCAAAAAGCGUUUCUGCAGCGGCGCGUUUUUCAGUGAGCCGCCCAAGAAGACGGCCGCACGGACUGACAGCUAGUCAGCUGGCAAGAAGUAGGUAAGCAAGUGCUGCUAGCCACAAGUUGGCGCGGCCCAGCAGUCGCUCAGUAACUUCAGUCGGUUCAGUUGGGCGACCCAAGCCGCAAUCGUAAAGCGCAAUCGAAGUAAUCGAGUUCAGCCGAAUUGAAGCGAAAUUAGCGCCGCUAAGAAUUCUGCGAAAAAAUAGUGAAGCAUAGCUAAAGAAAGCGCAAAUCGGAAAGUUCUAAGUGAAAGUGAAGUGCGUUUAAUUUAACGGUAAUAAUAAAGUUUAUCACUGAAACAUAAAAAUCAAGUGGAAAGCGCCUCUGGCAAGAUCUAUAGCGCGAUCAGUAAGUGUUAUAGUGUGCAGUUCAGUGUUUGCCGUCAGCUCGAAAGCUCCCUGGCAGUGUUGUCCUUGUGCGUCUUGCCCCUAAAUGCUGUUUUGUUUGUGUCGGCGAGUGCAUUUCUUAUCCUCUCCGCCGUGUGUUUCUAUUCACAUUCACCGCUCGUCCCAUUUUCACAUGUAAUGGGACUUUCGUGUCCAAUGCACAUUCGAUCCAUCAUCUCUUCCGUCCACCUGUUAGUCGUGUGUGUCUCUUGUGUGCGCCUCAAUGUUUACCUGCUGUCAGGGCCGCUUUAAUGGCGGUGUUUUAUUUCAUCGACUUUUUGUGUUGAUUUCAACAGUUUGCAGUGGCUUCGUCAUGGCUCUAAGGCGUAUGGAUUCAUUCAAACGAUUUAUGGAUCGGAUUCGGAAUUGGUGGAUGCUAAAAAUAAACUGUUAUGUGUAUACUCCUUUGCAGCACCAUCGCUAAGCAGAAGUUUUAUGCAAAACUAAAAGGAAAAUU